This 859-nucleotide ribosomal RNA is filed under the name uncultured Actinomycetes bacterium. RNAcentral's name for it is "bacterial SSU rRNA". It matches the Rfam family "Bacterial small subunit ribosomal RNA", at positions 28 to 896 of the family's 1533-position model. Lineage: Bacteria; Bacillati; Actinomycetota; Actinomycetes. The record is from RNAcentral.
GACGAACGCUGGCGGCGUGCUUAACACAUGCAAGUCGAACGGAAAGGCCUGCAGCUUGCUGCGGGUACUCGAGUGGCGAACGGGUGAGUAACACGUGGGUGAUCUGCCUUGCACUUCGGGAUAAGCUUGGGAAACUGGGUCUAAUACCGGAUAGGACAGCUGUUUAGUGUCAGUUGUGGAAAGUUUUUUCGGUGCAAGAUGAGCUUGCGGCCUAUCAGCUUGUUGGUGGGGUAAUGGCCUACCAAGGCGUCGACGGGUAGCCGGCCUGAGAGGGUGUACGGCCACAUUGGGACUGAGAUACGGCCCAGACUCCUACGGGAGGCAGCAGUGGGGAAUAUUGCACAAUGGGCGGAAGCCUGAUGCAGCGACGCCGCGUGGGGGAUGAAGGCCUUCGGGUUGUAAACUCCUUUCGACAGGGACGAAGCGUAAGUGACGGUACCUGUAUAAGAAGCACCGGCUAACUACGUGCCAGCAGCCGCGGUAAUACGUAGGGUGCGAGCGUUGUCCGGAAUUACUGGGCGUAAAGAGCUCGUAGGUGGUUUGUCGCGUCGUCUGUGAAAUUCCGGGGCUUAACUCCGGGCGUGCAGGCGAUACGGGCUGACUUGAGUGCUGUAGGGGAGACUGGAAUUCCUGGUGUAGCGGUGAAAUGCGCAGAUAUCAGGAGGAACACCGAUGGCGAAGGCAGGUCUCUGGGCAGUAACUGACGCUGAGGAGCGAAAGCAUGGGUAGCGAACAGGAUUAGAUACCCUGGUAGUCCAUGCCGUAAACGGUGGGCGCUAGGUGUAGGGGGCUUCCACGUCUUCUGUGCCGUAGCUAACGCAUUAAGCGCCCACGCCUGGGGAGUACGGCCGCAAGGCUA